AUUCCAGCUCCAAUAGCGUAUAUUAAAGUUGUUGCAGUUAAAAAGCUCGUAGUUGGAUUUCUGGCGUGAGGUGCUUGACCCGCCGCGGUACGCGUGUGAGUGUCGGUGUGCCUCGGCCAUCCUUCUAGAAAUUGGCUCUGCCCUUCAUUGGGUUGGGGUCAGGAUCUAGAUCUUUUACUUUGAAAAAAUUAGAGUGUUUAAAGCAAGCGUUGCGUGAAUACAUUAGCAUGGAAUAAUAACUUAGGACUUCGGUUCUAUUUUGUUGGUUUCUAGGACUGAAGUAAUGAUUGAUAGGGAUAGUUGGGGGUGCUAGUAUUCAGCGGCCAGAGGUGAAAUUCUUGGAUUCGCUGAAGACUAACUUAUGCGAAAGCAUUCACCAAGGAUGUCUUCAUCA
This 394-nucleotide ribosomal RNA is filed under the name Thecofilosea sp. Its description in RNAcentral is "partial small subunit ribosomal RNA". It matches the Rfam family "Eukaryotic small subunit ribosomal RNA", at positions 582 to 975 of the family's 1831-position model. Lineage: Eukaryota; Cercozoa; Thecofilosea. The record is from RNAcentral.